Molecule: long non-coding RNA, 359 nt
Filed under: Capra hircus (goat)
Lineage: Eukaryota; Metazoa; Chordata; Mammalia; Artiodactyla; Bovidae
Description: lncRNA (ENSCHIG00000005834.1)
Source: RNAcentral
CCCAGCCCGGCAGCGAGGCGCGGCUGUGAGCCCUCCUCAGACAGCAGUGGGGACGUGCAGUCUGGCCUUGCAGCACCUGACGCAGCCAUUCCUGGAGCAUGAGCCGCGGGCCCUGGCUGAAGCUGAGGCCUGCCAGACCCAGAGAGUGCGAAGCCCCCGGUGACCAGACUAAAAGUUUUAGCAACAGGAUGCUGUCUUCCUGUGAGGACGCUUGAGAAAGAGAGCAAAGAAGUAAAUCAUCCACAUAUGGCAACAAAGUAGAACCUCUAGGAACCUUCAGGUCAUUCAGAUCGACCUUCAGGAUUUUGAAGAAAUAAGGACUCACAGUACAACACUGAGGAAUUACUGUUCAGGUGAAU